UACGUAGGGUGCAAGCGUUAAUCGGAAUUACUGGGCGUAAAGCGUGCGCAGGCGGUGAUGUAAGACAGAUGUGAAAUCCCCGGGCUCAACCUGGGAACUGCAUUUGUGACUGCAUCGCCGGAGUGCGGCAGAGGGGGAUGGAAUUCCGCGUGUAGCAGUGAAAUGCGUAGAUAUGCGGAGGAACACCGAUGGCGAAGGCAAUCCCCUGGGCCUGCACUGACGCUCAUGCACGAAAGCGUGGGGAGCAAACAGG
This 253-nucleotide ribosomal RNA is filed under the name uncultured bacterium. Its description in RNAcentral is "partial 16S ribosomal RNA". It matches the Rfam family "Bacterial small subunit ribosomal RNA", at positions 524 to 776 of the family's 1533-position model. The record is from RNAcentral.